This 352-nucleotide ribosomal RNA is filed under the name uncultured eukaryote. RNAcentral's name for it is "partial 18S ribosomal RNA". It matches the Rfam family "Eukaryotic small subunit ribosomal RNA", at positions 1470 to 1796 of the family's 1831-position model. The record is from RNAcentral.
CCCUUAGAUGUUCUGGGCCGCACGCGCGCUACACUGAUCGAUUCAACGAGUUUUAUAAUAUUUUGUUUAAAAAAUUUAUAUAUCCUUUGUCGGAAGGCAUGGGUAAUCUUUUAAAUGUCGAUCGUGAUGGGGCUAGAUUCUUGCAAUUAUUAAUCUCCAACGAGGAAUUCCUAGUAAACGCAAGUCAUCAGCUUGCAUUGAUUACGUCCCUGCCCUUUGUACACACCGCCCGUCGCACCUACCGAUUGAGUGAUCCGGUGAGUAAUUCGGACUGGAGCAGUGUUCAGUUCCUGAACGUUGCAUCGGAAAGUUUAGCAAACCUUAUCACUUAGAGGAAGGAGAAGUCGUAACA